UGGGGAUUCGCCAAGCGGUAAGGCAGCGGACUUUGACUCCGCCAUUCGGGGGUUCGAAUCCCUCAUCCCCAACCA
Molecule: transfer RNA, 75 nt
Filed under: Candidatus Altimarinota bacterium
Lineage: Bacteria; Candidatus Altimarinota
Description: tRNA-Gln
Rfam family: tRNA
About the family: Transfer RNA (tRNA) molecules are approximately 80 nucleotides in length. Their secondary structure includes four short double-helical elements and three loops (D, anti-codon, and T loops). Further hydrogen bonds mediate the characteristic L-shaped molecular structure. tRNAs have two regions of fundamental functional importance: the anti-codon, which is responsible for specific mRNA codon recognition, and the 3' end, to which the tRNAs corresponding amino acid is attached (by aminoacyl-tRNA synthetases). tRNAs cope with the degeneracy of the genetic code in two manners: having more than one tRNA (with a specific anti-codon) for a particular amino acid; and 'wobble' base-pairing, i.e. permitting non-standard base-pairing at the 3rd anti-codon position.
Source: RNAcentral